AUUGAACGCUGGCGGCAUGCCUUACACAUGCAAGUCGAACGGCAGCACGGGUGCUUGCACCUGGUGGCGAGUGGCGAACGGGUGAGUAAUACAUCGGAACAUGUCCUGUAGUGGGGGAUAGCCCGGCGAAAGCCGGAUUAAUACCGCAUACGAUCUACGGAUGAAAGCGGGGGACCUUCGGGCCUCGCGCUAUAGGGUUGGCCGAUGGCUGAUUAGCUAGUUGGUGGGGUAAAGGCCUACCAAGGCGACGAUCAGUAGCUGGUCUGAGAGGACGACCAGCCACACUGGGACUGAGACACGGCCCAGACUCCUACGGGAGGCAGCAGUGGGGAAUUUUGGACAAUGGGCGAAAGCCUGACCCAGCAAUGCCGCGUGUGUGAAGAAGGCCUUCGGGUUGUAAAGCACUUUUGUCCGGAUAGAAAUCCUUGGCCCUAAUACGGUCGGGGGAUGACGGUACCGGAAGAAUAAGCACCGGCUAACUACGUG
This 486-nucleotide ribosomal RNA is filed under the name uncultured bacterium. RNAcentral's name for it is "partial 16S ribosomal RNA". It matches the Rfam family "Bacterial small subunit ribosomal RNA", at positions 30 to 507 of the family's 1533-position model. The record is from RNAcentral.